GUACACUCCUACGGGAGGCAGCAGUGGGGAAUAUUGGACAAUGGGCGCAAGCCUGAUCCAGCCAUGCCGCGUGAGUGAUGAAGGCCCUAGGGUUGUAAAGCUCUUUCACCGGAGAAGAUAAUGACGGUAUCCGGAGAAGAAGCCCCGGCUAACUUCGUGCCAGCAGCCGCGGUAAUACGAAGGGGGCUAGCGUUGUUCGGAAUUACUGGGCGUAAAGCGCACGUAGGCGGAUCGAUCAGUCAGGGGUGAAAUCCCAGGGCUCAACCCUGGAACUGCCUUUGAUACUGUCGAUCUGGAGUAUGGAAGAGGUGAGUGGAAUUCCGAGUGUAGAGGUGAAAUUCGUAGAUAUUCGGAGGAACACCAGUGGCGAAGGCGGCUCACUGGUCCAUUACUGACGCUGAGGUGCGAAAGCGUGGGGAGCAAACAGGAUUAGAAACCCGUGUAGUCCCAUG
RNAcentral lists this ribosomal RNA (452 nucleotides) under uncultured organism. RNAcentral describes it as "partial 16S ribosomal RNA". It matches the Rfam family "Bacterial small subunit ribosomal RNA", at positions 331 to 799 of the family's 1533-position model. The record is from RNAcentral.